This 459-nucleotide ribosomal RNA is filed under the name uncultured bacterium. Its description in RNAcentral is "partial 16S ribosomal RNA". It matches the Rfam family "Bacterial small subunit ribosomal RNA", at positions 338 to 795 of the family's 1533-position model. The record is from RNAcentral.
CCUACGGGAGGCAGCAGUGAGGAAUAUUGGUCAAUGGACGGAAGUCUGAACCAGCCAUGCCGCGUGCAGGAAGACGGCUCUAUGAGUUGUAAACUGCUUUUGUACAAGGGUAAACCUGAAUACGUGUAUUCAGCUGAAAGUACUGUACGAAUAAGGAUCGGCUAACUCCGUGCCAGCAGCCGCGGUAAUACGGAGGAUCCAAGCGUUAUCCGGAUUUAUUGGGUUUAAAGGGUGCGUAGGCGGAUUGAUAAGUUAGAGGUGAAAUGACGGAGCUUAACUCGGGAACGGCCUCUAAUACGGUUGUUCUAGGGAGGAGAUGAGGUAGGCGGAAUGGAUGGUGUGGCGGUGAAAUGCUAGAGAUCAUACAGAACACCGAUUGCGAAGGCAGCUUACCAAUCUAUAUCUGACGUUGAGGCACGAAAGCGUGGGGAGCAAACAGGAUUAGAUACCCGAGUAGUC